UGCCAGCAGCCGCGGUAAUACGUAGGUGGCUAGCGUUAUUCGGAUUUAUUGGGCGUAAAGGGUCCGUAGGGGGUUUGGCAAGUCUGAUGUGAAAUACCGAGGCUCAACUUCGGAAUUGCAUUGGAAACUGUCAAGCUAGAGCAUAGGAGAGGAGAGUGGAAUUCCUGGUGUAGCGGUGGAAUGCGUAGAUAUCAGGAGGAACACCAAAGGCGAAGGCAGCUCUCUGGACUAUUGCUGACCCUGAGGGACGAAAGCUAGGGGAGCGAACAGGAUUAGAUA
Molecule: ribosomal RNA, 279 nt
Filed under: uncultured bacterium
Lineage: Bacteria
Description: partial 16S ribosomal RNA
Rfam family: Bacterial small subunit ribosomal RNA
Source: RNAcentral